CCUACGGGUGGCAGAAGUGAGGAAUAUUGGUCAAUGGCCGAGAGGCUGAACCAGCCAAGUCGCGUGAGGGAAGACGGCCCUACGGGUUGUAAACCUCUUUUGUCGGGGAGCAAAGAGAGUCACGUGUGACUCAUUGAGAGUACCCGAAGAAAAAGCAUCGGCUAACUCCGUGCCAGCAGCCGCGGUACUACGGAGGAUGCGAGCGUUAUCCGGAUUUAUUGGGUUAAAAGGGUGCGCGGGGGGAGGUGCAAGUCAGGGGUAAAAUUGGGGGGCUCAACCCCGUACUGCCGUUGAAACUGCAUCCCUUGAGUGCGCGAGAAGUAUGCGGAAUGCGGGGGGUAGCGGUGAAAGGCAUAGAUACCACGCAGAACCCCGAUUGCGAAGGCAGCAUACCGGCGGCGAUCUGACGCUGAGGCACGAAAGCGUGGGUAUCGAACAGGAUUAGAUACCCGGUAGUC
RNAcentral lists this ribosomal RNA (458 nucleotides) under uncultured bacterium. Its description in RNAcentral is "partial 16S ribosomal RNA". It matches the Rfam family "Bacterial small subunit ribosomal RNA", at positions 338 to 795 of the family's 1533-position model. The record is from RNAcentral.